This 428-nucleotide ribosomal RNA is filed under the name uncultured bacterium. Its description in RNAcentral is "bacterial SSU rRNA". It matches the Rfam family "Bacterial small subunit ribosomal RNA", at positions 355 to 774 of the family's 1533-position model. The record is from RNAcentral.
UGGGGAAUAUUGCGCAAUGGGCGAAAGCCUGACGCAGCGACGCCGCGUGGGUGAUGAAGGCCUUCGGGUCGUAAAGCCCUGUCGGGAGGGACGAAACCUCGGUGACCUAAUACGUCACCGACCUGACGGUACCUCUUAAGGAAGCACCGGCUAACUCCGUGCCAGCAGCCGCGGUAAUACGGAGGGUGCGAGCGUUGUUCGGAGUUACUGGGCGUAAAGAGUGCGUAGGCGGUUUUCUAAGUUCGGUGUGAAAUCUCCCGGCUUAACUGGGAGGGUGCGCCGAAGACUGGGAAGCUGGAGUGUGGGAAAGGCAGGCGGAAUUCCUGGUGUAGCGGUGAAAUGCGUAGAUAUCAGGAGGAACACCGGCGGUGUAGACGGCUUGCUAGACCAUAACUGACGCUGAGGCACGAAAGCGUGGGUAGCAAACA